This 467-nucleotide ribosomal RNA is filed under the name uncultured bacterium. Its description in RNAcentral is "partial 16S ribosomal RNA". It matches the Rfam family "Bacterial small subunit ribosomal RNA", at positions 28 to 507 of the family's 1533-position model. The record is from RNAcentral.
GAUGAACGCUGACGGAAUGCUUAACACAUGCAAGUCAACCUGAAUCUGGGUUUUUACCUUCGGUUUGGGUGGCGGACGGGUGAGUAACGCGUAAAGAACUUGCCUUCCAGCUAGGGAUAACAUUUGGCAACGAAUGCUAAUCCCUAAUAUUACGUUCAUCGGACAUCUUAUAAUUAUGAAACUUGUAAGCGCUGUCGAAAGGCUUUGCGUCACACUAGCUAGUUGGAGAGGUAACGGCUCACCAAGGCGAGGAUGGGUAGCCAGCCUGGGAGGGUGAUCGGGCACAAAGGGACAGGGGCACGGCCAUUACGCAAACGGGAGGCAAGAGUGGAGAAUAGUGGACGAUGGACCGAGAGUCUGAAGCAGCAAUUCUGUGUGCACGAUGAAGUUUUUCGGAAUGAAAAGUACUUUCAGUUGAGAAGAAACAAAUGACGGUACCAACAGAAGAAGCGACGGCUAACUACGUG